UCCAGACGACAAUGGAGUUGAAGGUUUGGCACAGACAUCUCUUCUUUGUGGCUGUGUCCGUGGCCUGUCGCGUGCAGCCUUGAUGGUGGCCAUGGGGGUUUGUCUGUGCCUCCAUACCAGCAAGUUUCAGGAGUUGCAGGUGGCGUUUUUGAUGGCAGCAACGGUCUACGGCAGCACUGCACUUCCAAAAGAGAUGACUCACCGUCUCAGGCGCGCCAUAACCUGGUCGGGGGCAUGUUGAGUGCACUGACAUGACGGGAGUGCAUCACGGUCCUGAUGAGGAGGGCUUCAUGGCAGGUCCCGAAGUCUGUUUGGGACAGCAGGAUGGUUAACAUUGCAUCCCGUUCCUGCGCAGCAGAAAUAAGAGCA
Long non-coding RNA from Syngnathoides biaculeatus (alligator pipefish), 369 nucleotides. RefSeq lists it as uncharacterized. NCBI's taxonomy places the organism in Eukaryota, Metazoa, Chordata, Actinopteri, Syngnathiformes, Syngnathidae. The transcript is spliced from 3 exons. The record is from RefSeq and is a predicted model, not a curated record.